Molecule: ribosomal RNA, 266 nt
Filed under: Myrmeleotettix maculatus
Lineage: Eukaryota; Metazoa; Arthropoda; Insecta; Orthoptera; Acrididae
Description: partial 16S ribosomal RNA
Rfam family: Archaeal large subunit ribosomal RNA
Source: RNAcentral
GUUUGGCCUGCUCACUGAUAAUUCUAAAGAGCCGCGGUAUUUUGACCGUGCAAAGGUAGCAUAAUCAUUAGUCUCUUAAUUAGAGGCUGGAAUGAAUGGUUUGACGAGAAAUUAACUGUCUCUUAAUAAUUUUUAAAAUUUAACUUUUGAGUUAAAAGGCUUAAAUUUUUCUUUAGGACGAGAAGACCCUAUAGAGCUUGACAUUUUAAUUUUAUAUUUUUUUAAGAUAGUCUUUUUGUAUUUAAUGAUGAUGUUUUGUUGGGGUG